Molecule: ribosomal RNA, 301 nt
Filed under: uncultured bacterium
Lineage: Bacteria
Description: partial 16S ribosomal RNA
Rfam family: Bacterial small subunit ribosomal RNA
Source: RNAcentral
CAGUAGCCGCGGUAAUACGAAGGGGGCUAGCGUUGCUCGGAAUGACUGGGCGUAAAGGGCGCGUAGGCGGUUUUGACAGUCAGAUGUGAAAUUCCUGGGCUUAACCUGGGGGCUGCAUUUGAGACGUCAAGACUAGAGUGUGAGAGAGGGUUGUGGAAUUCCCAGUGUAGAGGUGAAAUUCGUAGAUAUUGGGAAGAACACCGGUGGCGAAGGCGGCAACCUGGCUCAUUACUGACGCUGAGGCGCGAAAGCGUGGGGAGCAAACAGGAUUAGAUACCCCCGUAGUCCCUGUCUCUUAUAC